UAGUGAGUUAUAAAAUUGGCAUGAAUAUACUUGGAUGGUCGAGGGUCUUUAAAGUUAUUGCUCUGAUUUUAUUUGGGCAUAUAGACUUCUUGCUACUAAAACACCUGGGUGGAGAUUAUUUGAAGGCGUGAAGACUAGAGAAAAGGGGUGAAUUUCAUUUGGAUGCCAAACAACUCAUUUCCAUGGUCGUGGAUUCAUAGCAGAAGAAGAAUUUGUCGCUGGGAAUCAUUUUUAAUUUUUAAAUAACCAGGAAUAAAGACAGAGAUUGGCUGCAUUUGUGAGUUUUUCCACAGAUACUGUGGUCAUUUUUACACAUAAGGAAGAAAAACGAAACCCAAGUUUUAAUUUUCUUUGGUAGCACCAAGUUUUUUUAAAAUUGUGUGAUUUUUAGCAAUUUUUACCAGUUUUAAACACUGAGAGCCAUUCUAAAACUCAUUUGCAAGUUUAUCGGCAAAAACUCGCGGCCAAUUAGGGCUCGCAAGUACUUGCAAUUCUAGCAAUUUUUAUGCGAUUUUUUAAACUUUGAUGAGAAGGUAAUGGUCCAAGGAUGAUUUCUUUUGGUGGUGUGUGCAAAGUUUUGAUUUCACCUCUGUUUGAAGGGAUGUGUACUGUUUUUCUUUUGUAGCUGGAUUUUCUGUUUUUUUGCAGGGUUUCAUUUCAGGUAGUGCUGGGUGUCUGCGUUAAAAGGCAAAGGAUAGUGAAGCAACAGGUUGCUGGAAGGCAGAGAGAUCCUUUUUACUGAGAGGCAGUGUCAGACUGCAGACUUAGGGCGUAAUUGCCCAAAUGUAGCUACUCUAAGAAUGAUCAAGUGAUUCUAGAUUCCAUGGGUAGUGCAAAUACAGGCAAAUUCUGUCUAGGAGCAUUAUUGCUGCUGAUUUAUCACUAAACUAGAGGAAUAGAUGCCCGAAAAGGUCAUUCAUUAAUAGAUUAUUGGUCAGGGCUUCCAGAAAAGGCAGAGCAGGCAGCUGGCAUUGGUACCAUUUUCCCCUGCAGCAGUGGUAGAUUCUUCCAUGAAGAAUGAAUAAUGGCUCCUAUUCACCAGGAAUUCCAUUCCCUGCAUAUGGAGAUUAAAACCAUCCACUGUCAUAAGGAAGGUUUGGUUGAUUUCUAUACAGACCUGGCAUUGGUAUUUGAAUCUCUGGCAAUUACACACAAAAAGGAAACCUCGCGCUGGAUCUGUGUUUUUCUUAACCCCCAUUGUCUGGUGGUAUCCUAAGCAAAGCAAAUAGGAAGUCGAAGAUCUACCAAGGCAUCCUAUUUCAACAGCAGGAAGAAAGUGAGCAGAAUUAUGCAGGGAGUGUUGGUGUGAACAUGGUGAUCUUUAGCUCUUGUGGGGUUGAUCAACUCUUACAGGGAGGAAGUGGAGUUGACAACAAUCUGUGUGCAAGGUUCAAUGGUAUUGCAAAGACUGGUUCUCUUGGGGUGGCAAAUAUAACAUUAUGUUUAGAAUUGAUAUGCCCUCAAUGUUUUCUCAUUAAUCUUGAGUUAGAUGCUUGGUAGAAUAGCUUAUUGGUUGAUGUAUUAGAUGCAUUUGUAAGAUAACUAGCUACAAGAAAGCUAUAAAAUAAAUUGUUGUCGCCACUCAAGCAACAGAAUAGUAUCUAAAACAUCUGUUUGCUGAACUACAAAGUCACCCACAACAGGCACUACAGACAAUUUCUGUCUAGGAGCAUCAUUGCUGCCGAUUUUAUCAUUAAACAAGAGAAUUUGGUGACUGGAAAGGCCAUUCACGAAUGGCUUAUAGAUCAAGUGCUUCCAGAAAAGAGCAGAGCAGGCAGCAGCAUUGGUGGUAUUUUCCCCUGUGACAGUGAUGAACUCUUCCAUGAAGCAUGGCCACUGUAUUCACAAGGAAAUCCAUCUACCAGGCCUGGCAUUAAUGGUUAAAUCUCUGGUAAUUGCACACAGAAAAGGAAAGCUGCAGCUGAACUCAUGUUUUUCUUUGCCCCACUAUCUGGUAAUAUUCUGAGCAAGGCAGCUCAGAAGUCAGAGAUCUACCCAUGCAUCCCAUUUCAACAAAAGGAAGAAAGUGUAAGCAGAAAUAUGCAGCGAGGAGGUGAAGUUGGCAGCUCUCUGAAUGCAGGGUCUUAGGGUGGCAAAUAUAGCAUUAUGUGUAGGGUUGAUAAGGCCUCAAUGUUUUCUUAUUAAUCAUGUGUUAGAUUAACAAACAGCUGUUGCCACUCAAGCAAUAGAACAGUGUCUAACACAUCUGUUUGCUUAACUAUAAGCUCGGCCAGAUUUUAAAGAGGGUAUUCAAGGUUAUGGCAGUGAA
Long non-coding RNA from Cryptomeria japonica (Japanese cedar), 2269 nucleotides. RefSeq lists it as uncharacterized. The record is from RefSeq and is a predicted model, not a curated record. The transcript has 2 exons. NCBI's taxonomy places the organism in Eukaryota, Viridiplantae, Streptophyta, Pinopsida, Cupressales, Cupressaceae.